UACGUAGGGGGCAAGCGUUGUCCGGAAUCAUUGGGCGUAAAGCGCGUGUAGGCGGUCCGGUAAGUCCGCUGUGAAAGUCGGGGGCUCAACCCUCGGAUGCCGGUGGAUACUGUCGGGCUUGAGUACGGAAGAGGCGAGUGGAAUUCCUGGUGUAGCGGUGAAAUGCGCAGAUAUCAGGAGGAACACCAAUUGCGAAGGCAGCUCGCUGGGACGUUACUGACGCUGAGGACGACGAAGCGUGGGGAGCGAACACGG
Molecule: ribosomal RNA, 255 nt
Filed under: uncultured bacterium
Lineage: Bacteria
Description: partial 16S ribosomal RNA
Rfam family: Bacterial small subunit ribosomal RNA
Source: RNAcentral